This is a non-coding RNA of Sphagnurus paluster, 99 nucleotides long. Lineage: Eukaryota; Fungi; Basidiomycota; Agaricomycetes; Agaricales; Lyophyllaceae. The record is from the annotation of a GenBank genome assembly.
UCUUUGCUAGUAUAUCGGUUAGUACACGCGCCUGUCAUGACGUUGGUGUGUGGGUGACACUGUACGCGCGAAAGCUGGGUUCGACUCCCAGGCAGAGAG